UACGUAGGGUGCGAGCGUUAUCCGGAUUUAUUGGGUUUAAAGGGUGCGCAGGUUGUUUGAUAAGUCAGUGGUGAAAGUCUGUCGCUUAACGGUAGGAUUGCCAUUGAUACUGUUGGACUUGAAUAUGGAUGAGGUAGGCGGAAUGUGUAGUGUAGCGGUGAAAUGCAUAGAUAUUACACAGAACACCGAUUGCGAAGGCAGCUUACUAAUCCAUCAUUGACGCUGAGGCACGAAAGCGUGGGGAUCAAACAGGA
RNAcentral lists this ribosomal RNA (254 nucleotides) under uncultured prokaryote. Its description in RNAcentral is "partial 16S ribosomal RNA". It matches the Rfam family "Bacterial small subunit ribosomal RNA", at positions 524 to 777 of the family's 1533-position model. The record is from RNAcentral.